UACAGAGGGAGCGAGCGUUAUCCGGAAUGAUUGGGCGUAAAGCGUCUGUAGGUGGUUUAGAAAGUCUACUGUCAAAUACCAAGGCUCAACCUUGGGCAGGCAGUAGAGUACUUUUAGACUAGAGUGUGGUAGAGGUAGAGGGAAUCCCUAGCGUAACAGUGAAAUGUGUAGAUUUUAGGGAGAACACCAGCGGCGAAGGCGCUCUACUGGGCCAAGACUGACACUGAGAGACGAAAGCUAGGGGAGCGAAUAGG
This 254-nucleotide ribosomal RNA is filed under the name uncultured bacterium. RNAcentral's name for it is "partial 16S ribosomal RNA". It matches the Rfam family "Bacterial small subunit ribosomal RNA", at positions 524 to 776 of the family's 1533-position model. The record is from RNAcentral.